CCUUCAUCGGAGAAGUGACCAGAU
Molecule: non-coding RNA, 24 nt
Filed under: Arabidopsis thaliana (thale cress)
Lineage: Eukaryota; Viridiplantae; Streptophyta; Magnoliopsida; Brassicales; Brassicaceae
Source: RNAcentral